AACGAACGCUGGCGGCAUGCCUAACACAUGCAAGUCGAACGAGAUCUUCGGGUCUAGUGGCGCACGGGUGCGUAACGCGUGGGAAUCUGCCCUUUGGCUCGGAAUAACAGUUGGAAACGACUGCUAAUACCGGAUGAUGACGAAAGUCCAAAGAUUUAUCGCCAGAGGAUGAGCCCGCGUAGGAUUAGCUAGUUGGUGGGGUAAAGGCGCACCAAGGCGACGAUCCUUAGCUGGUCUGAGAGGAUGAUCAGCCACACUGGGACUGAGACACGGCCCAAACUCCUACGGGAGGCAGCAGUGGGGAAUAUUGGACAAUGGGCGAAAGCAUGAUCCAGCAAUGCCGCGUGAGUGAUGAAGGCCUUAGGGUUGUAAAGCUCUCUUACCCGGGAUGAUAAUGACAGUACCGGGAGAAUAAGCUCCGGCUAACUCCGUGCCAGCCGCCGCCGUAA
RNAcentral lists this ribosomal RNA (449 nucleotides) under uncultured bacterium. Its description in RNAcentral is "partial 16S ribosomal RNA". It matches the Rfam family "Bacterial small subunit ribosomal RNA", at positions 29 to 523 of the family's 1533-position model. The record is from RNAcentral.